GAUGAACGCUGGCGGCGUGCCUAAUACAUGCCAGUCGAGCGAACAGACGAGGAGCUUGCUCCUCUGACGUUAGCGGCGGACGGGUGAGUAACACGUGGAUAACCUACCUAUAAGACUGGGAUAACUUCGGGAAACCGGAGCUAAUACCGGAUAAUAUAUUGAACCGCAUGGUUCAAUAGUGAAAGACGGUUUUGCUGUCACUUAUAGAUGGAUCCGCGCCGCAUUAGCUAGUUGGUAAGGUAACGACUUACCAAGGCAACGAUGCGUAGCCGACCUGAGAGGGUGAUCGGCCACACUGGAACUGAGACACGGUUCAGACUCCUACGGGAGGCAGCAGUAGGGAAUCUUCCGCAAUGGGCGAAAGCCUGACGGAGCAACGCCGCGUGAGUGAUGAAGGUCUUCGGAUCGUAAAACUCUGUUAUUAGGGAAGAACAAAUGUGUAAGUAACUAUGCACGUCUUGACGGUACCUAAUCAGAAAGCCACGGCUAACUACGUG
Molecule: ribosomal RNA, 497 nt
Filed under: uncultured bacterium
Lineage: Bacteria
Description: partial 16S ribosomal RNA
Rfam family: Bacterial small subunit ribosomal RNA
Source: RNAcentral